This is a long non-coding RNA of Arabidopsis thaliana (thale cress), 295 nucleotides long. RefSeq annotates it as other RNA. The transcript has a single exon. NCBI's taxonomy places the organism in Eukaryota, Viridiplantae, Streptophyta, Magnoliopsida, Brassicales, Brassicaceae. The record is from RefSeq.
AGACGUCUCGGCCAGCCAGGUUACAAACGUAACAUAACUGACUGGUCCUGUCUCAUUUCUUGGCUGUCAUCACCAAGGUGAUCAGCAUGUCAUACAGAUAAUAAUUCAAAACGGCAACAACAAAGUGACUAGGAUGCCACAUGGAUGAUAGUACAAAACACCGUCGUUUUGUUUUACAAGAAUUGUUUUUUUGGAUUAAAUCAUUGUUAGAAAUGCCAAUGUAAAAUAAAUUAGAGCAAAUUUAGAGAAAACAUUUAUCACAAUUUUUGGGAGCAAUACUUGCCGUCCAAAAAAA